ACUUUGGUCCAUCUUGUAAAACCAAGUGUAGCUGAGAAACUGAGGACUAGAAAAGGGAAAAGUGUGGCUAAAAUAAGAACAGCAAGAAGAUUGAAGAAGGCUGUAGGACCCUCAAAAGCCUGGAGUAAAGUUGAGGUUAGGAAAAGGAAAGAAAGAGACAGUUCUGACUCUGAUGAGGAUGUCGAAGACGAUGUUCCAGACAUCUCCCCUGCAAAAAGACAGGUUGUUAAGAAGUCUCCUGGCAAAACUGUUGUUGUGCACCUAGACAAUAUCUCCUUCCAUUUAGAAGAUGGUGCUGCAAAAUGGAAAUUUGUCGUUCAGAGGAGGGUAG
This 331-nucleotide long non-coding RNA is filed under the name Lathyrus oleraceus (garden pea). RNAcentral describes it as "Pisum sativum (pea) long non-coding RNA (PSAT_LNC011950)". Lineage: Eukaryota; Viridiplantae; Streptophyta; Magnoliopsida; Fabales; Fabaceae. The record is from RNAcentral.